AGUGAACGCUGGCGGUAGGCCUAACACAUGCAAGUCGAACGGCAGCACAGUAAGAGCUUGCUCUUACGGGUGGCGAGUGGCGGACGGGUGAGGAAUACAUCGGAAUCUACUUUUUCGUGGGUGAUAACGUAGGGAAACUUACGCUAAUACCGCAUACGACCUACGGGUGAAAGCAGGGGAUCUUCGGACCUUGCGCGAUUGAAUGAGCCGAGGUCGGAUUAGCUAGUUGGCGGGGUAAAGGCCCACCAAGGCGACGAUCCGUAGCUGGUCUGAGAGGAUGAUCAGCCACACUGGAACUGAGACAGGGUCCAGACUCCUACGGGAGGCAGCAGUGGGGAAUCUUGGACAAUGGGCGCAAGCCUGAUACAGCCAUACCGCGGGGGUGAAGAAGGCCUUAGGGUUGUAAAGCCCUUUUGUUGGGAAAGAAAAGCAGCAGGUUAAUACCCCGCUGUUCUGACGGUACCCAAAGAAUAAGCACCGGCUAACUUCGUG
RNAcentral lists this ribosomal RNA (492 nucleotides) under uncultured bacterium. RNAcentral's name for it is "partial 16S ribosomal RNA". It matches the Rfam family "Bacterial small subunit ribosomal RNA", at positions 29 to 507 of the family's 1533-position model. The record is from RNAcentral.